GACGAACGCUGGCGGCGUGCUUAACACAUGCCAGUCGAACGGAAAGGCCCCUUUGGGGGUACUCGAGUGGCGAACGGGUGCGUAACACGUGAGUAACCUGCCCUUGCCUUCGGGAUAACUUCAGGAAACUGGGGCUAAUACCGGAUAGGAAUCCUUUCUGCAUGCUGGGGGUUGGAAAGCUUCGGCGGGUUUGGAUGGACUCGCGGGUUAUCAGCUUGCUGGUGGGGUAGUGGCUUACCAAGGCUUUGACGGGUAGCCGGCCUGGGGGGGCGACCGGCCACAUUGGGACUUAGGUACGGCCCAAGCACCUACGGGGGGGAGCAGUGGGGAAUAUUGCCGCAUGGGCGGAAGCCUGGUGCAGCAACGCCGCGGGCGGGAUGACGGCCUUCGGGGUGGAAACCGCUUUCAGCAGGGGCGGAGCUUGUGGUGACGGUACCUGCAGAAGAAGCACCGGCUAACUACGUG
RNAcentral lists this ribosomal RNA (465 nucleotides) under uncultured bacterium. RNAcentral describes it as "partial 16S ribosomal RNA". It matches the Rfam family "Bacterial small subunit ribosomal RNA", at positions 28 to 507 of the family's 1533-position model. The record is from RNAcentral.